Molecule: ribosomal RNA, 359 nt
Filed under: uncultured bacterium
Lineage: Bacteria
Description: bacterial SSU rRNA
Rfam family: Bacterial small subunit ribosomal RNA
Source: RNAcentral
CAAGCGUUAUCCGGAUUCACUGGGUUUAAAGGGUGCGUAGGCGGGCAGGUAAGUCCGUGGUGAAAUCUCUGAGCUUAACUCAGAAACUGCCAUGGAUACUAUUUGUCUUGAAUAUUGUGGAGGUAAGCGGAAUAUGUCAUGUAGCGGUGAAAUGCUUAGAUAUGACAUAGAACACCAAUUGCGAAGGCAGCUUACUACACAGUUAUUGACGCUGAGGCACGAAAGCGUGGGGAUCAAACAGGAUUAGAUACCCUGGUAGUCCACGCCCUAAACGAUGAUUACUCGACAUCAGCGAUACACUGUUGGUGUCUGAGCGAAAGCAUUAAGUAAUCCACCUGGGAAGUACGAUCGCAAGAUUG